CCUACGGGUGGCAGCAGUGGGGAAUAUUGGGCAAUGGGCGCAAGCCUGACCCAGCGACGCCGCGUGAAGGAAGAAGGCUUUCGGGUUGUAAACUGCUUUUAAGAGGGAAGAGCAGAAGACGGUACCUCUUGAAGAAGCCACGGCUUACUAUGUGCCAGCAGCCGCGGUAAUACGUAGGUGGCAAGCGGUGUCCGGAUUUACUGGGUGUAAAGGGCGUGCAGGCGGGAAGAUAAGGCAGAUGUUAAAUCCCGGGGCUCAACCGCGGAACUGCAUUUGAAACUGUCUUUCUUGAGUACCAGAGAGGUAAGCGGAAUUCCUGGUGUAGCGGUGAAAUGCGUAGAUAUAAGGAAGAACACCAGUGGCGAAGGCAGAUGACUGG
RNAcentral lists this ribosomal RNA (379 nucleotides) under uncultured bacterium. Its description in RNAcentral is "partial 16S ribosomal RNA". It matches the Rfam family "Bacterial small subunit ribosomal RNA", at positions 338 to 732 of the family's 1533-position model. The record is from RNAcentral.